Molecule: long non-coding RNA, 2163 nt
Organism: Mustela lutreola (European mink)
Lineage: Eukaryota; Metazoa; Chordata; Mammalia; Carnivora; Mustelidae
Exons: 3
Source: RefSeq, a predicted model, not a curated record
AUAGGGCCCAAGCGCGCUGUGGACACAGGUCAGUGGCCAAGGGUCAGGACGGCACUGGGCGUCACUGCUUGGGACGUGACUGGCCACAGCCCCGGGGCCUCCAGCACGGAUGUGCACGCACCGUCAGCUUCCCUGGCCCAGAGACCGUGUGGCCGCUGCAAGUGGCAGGACACACGUGGGUCUGCCGUGGUCGCCCCGGACACCAGCCCCGGAGCCUCCGCUCGCGCCCAACCCGCUGAGCGGCCGCACGCCAGCCCCACCGCGACCGUCAGACUCACAUCAUCACUAGUGCAGCUGGGACCGGACCUCCGAUCGCCCAGGACGUCCACCAGCUCUGGAUCAAAUGGGGCAGUGCAGUCGUCCGUGUGAACAGUACCCGAGCGCCGGUGGGGCCGGGGCGGCCCGACUCGCUGGGUAGAGCGCCCGCUAGAAUCGGCGUCUCCCGCUCUGAGACACUGUGCGACCCGCCAGGCAACAGGCGCCCUGGCUUGGCAGCCGGGAAAGCGCUCCAGGAGCACUGCUCUGUCUCGGUGGAGCCCGGUCAGACCCAGUUACUGGGAGACACCGGCCCCAGGGCUGGGCCUGCCUGGGACCUUCCCUCCACAGUGGCAAAGAGGCUGCGGUGCUCCUGAGAUGUUCCCAGCCGACUCCGUGGCCAGCCGUCCAGAGCCACCCGCCCCUCAUGCUUGGACCUCAGCGGUGGCCCACGUGGGGCAGUGGGCCCUCCCAGUUCCUCCCCUGGCAGCCUGGACGCGUGUCACAUGAGCGGGCCUGUAAAGGGCCCGUGACACCAGCCGGACCUGGCUGUCGGCCCUCCCUGCAACUCUCCCUCAGCCCGUGGGGAAGACAGUGCUCAUGCGGGAACUGGAGGGCUCGCCCGGCCCACGGGGGUUGCAGGCGUCCCCUGUGGCAAGGCCUCGAGGCUGUGUUUCCUGCGUGGACUCGGGCCAGGAGGGCCUGCGCGGGUGCUGCGGGGUCAGCGCUAGCAGCGGCCGAAGCCCGUCUCCGGCUCUCCAGGGGCCUUGUGCUCUCCCCUGCAUACUUGUGCGGGUUCAUGGUUUCCCGAGCCCGAUGGGGUGGGAGCUCGGCCUGCGGGAGGCGGGCAGGACUCCGGACGCGCUCGCCGCGGCCCUGCUCACAGCUCUGGGUGCUGGUCUCGCGUCUCAGCCCGCAGUCGGGGCCAGUGCGGGACACGGGAAGGGAAACAUGACGGUGACAGAAACUGCGCCAGCGCACAGCCGGGUGGCGAGCUUGGGGAUGAGAUGGGCCUCUGCCUGUUGGGGUAUGUGACGCGCAUUCCAGGAGAUGCUCUAGGAACGAACCAGGCCAAACUGAUCUCAACGGUACGUCCUGUGUCAUCCAGUGUAGCCAGAAUGUGCCACUGCCGCGCGUCACGGACCUGAGGAGCCGCAGGGUGAGCCCCCUCCAGCCGUCGAGCUCUUCCGUCCCACGGCAGCGGCCGGUCUCCGCUCACCGCUGAGUUCUUGCUGGAAAUCGCCGAUCCUGCUGGGAUGUCCCGGAACGCCGGAAAGGACAUUCCUUUGCCGAAGUUAUUCCAAACAUCCUUCGACCUCCUCGUAACCGAGCCGCCAUUAAAAUUCAGAUCUAACUUACGGGGGCGCGCGGGGGGCUCCAUCACUGGGCGCCUGCCUUCGGCUCAGGUCGUGAUCCCGGGGCCCUGGGAUCGAGCCCUGCACGGGCUCCCUGCUUGGGGGGGAGCCUGCUUCCCCCUCGCCAGCUCCCCCUGCUUGUGCCCCACCUCUCGCUGUCUCUGUCAUUGAUAAUUAAAAAAUCUUUUAAAAAGUCGAACUGAAUUAAGGUUGAAUUAAAGCAGCUGCGGCUGCCAGGCGGCCCCGGGUGUUAAAGGCCGUGUCGCCGACCCCUGCAGGCAGCCCGCCUGGGUUAGUGGCCAUGAGGUGACACUAUUGCCAUUCUGAGGGACAAGCAAGGGCCCCAAGACCACACGAGCUGGGGUACCCAGUGCGGCCGGCCACCCUAGGAGACCCACUCAGUGGGGUUCCAGAGGACCUGACAAGUCCUGCAGAGAGAGGUGAGGCAGGAGCCCCAGGAGCCCCGAUUCUGCCCUUCUUCCUUCAUCUCCUCUGCUUCUGCGGCAAGUCCAUGCCCCCCACCCCAGGCCUCUGCACCCAGACAAGGAAAGCA